Molecule: ribosomal RNA, 460 nt
Filed under: uncultured bacterium
Lineage: Bacteria
Description: partial 16S ribosomal RNA
Rfam family: Bacterial small subunit ribosomal RNA
Source: RNAcentral
CCUACGGGAGGCUGCAGUGAGGAAUAUUGGUCAAUGGACGCAAGUCUGAACCAGCCAUGCCGCGUGCAGGAAGACGGCUCUAUGAGUUGUAAACUGCUUUUGUACGAGGGCAAAUGCAGAUACGUGUAUCUGUCUGAAAGUAUCGUACGAAUAAGGAUCGGCUAACUCCGUGCCAGCAGCCGCGGUAAUACGGAGGGUUCAAGCGUUAUCCGGAUUUAUUGGGUUUAAAGGGUGCGUAGGCGGUCGGAUAAGUUAGAGGUGAAAUCCCGAGGCUCAACUUCGGAAUUGCCUCGGAUACUGUUCGGCUAGAGAGUAGUUGCGGUAGGCGGAAUGUAUGGUGUAGCAGUGAAAUGCUUAGAGAUCAUACAGAACACCGAUGGCGAAGGCAGCUUACCAAGCUACUUCUGACGUUGAGGCACGAAAGCGUGGGGAGCAAACAGGAUUAGAUACCCGGGUAGUC